This 216-nucleotide ribosomal RNA is filed under the name Brevibacillus sp. RNAcentral describes it as "partial 16S ribosomal RNA". It matches the Rfam family "Bacterial small subunit ribosomal RNA", at positions 1202 to 1428 of the family's 1533-position model. The record is from RNAcentral. Lineage: Bacteria; Bacillati; Bacillota; Bacilli; Caryophanales; Paenibacillaceae.
UUAUGACCUGGGUUACACACGUGCUCCAAUGGUUGGUACCCCCGGAUCCUACUUCGCGCGAAGAUAAUCUCUUAAAACCAAUCUCAGUUCGGAUUGUAGGCUGCAACUCCCUACAUGAAGUCGGCGCUAGUAAUCGCGGAUCAGCAUGCCGCGGUGAAUACGUUGGCCUUGUACACACCGCCCGUCACACCACGGGAGUUUGCAACACCCGAAGUC